UACGUAGGGGGCAAGCGUUGUCCGGAAUCAUUGGGCGUAAAGAGCGUGUAGGCGGCUUGGUAAGUCCGCUGUGAAAGUCCAGGGCUCAACCCUGGAAAGCCGGUGGAAACUGUCAAGCUAGAGUCCGGAAGAGGUGAGUGGAACUCCUGGUGUAGCGGUGAAAUGCGCAGAUAUCAGGAAGAACACCAAUGGCGAAGGCAGCUCACUGGGACGGUACUGACGCUGAGACGCGAAAGCGUGGGGAGCAAACAGG
RNAcentral lists this ribosomal RNA (253 nucleotides) under uncultured bacterium. RNAcentral describes it as "partial 16S ribosomal RNA". It matches the Rfam family "Bacterial small subunit ribosomal RNA", at positions 524 to 776 of the family's 1533-position model. The record is from RNAcentral.